UGGCUUUACAGUGAAGAUAUUUGAAAGAAAAGAGUGAAUGAUAAGAGCAGGAAAAGAUACAAGGAAAAUGUUGGAAUAGAGGCAGAGAAAGACAUUGCCAGGCAAAGUAGACACAGAGGCUGAGGACCCAGCAAUCCCACCAAGAUGGCAAGAGUGGAAGGUGCUCAACCCUCUGAGAAAACAACCCUAUUUUGCCCAGUAAUGUUGCUUGGUCUUCUUGCACGUUCGGUGAUCCACAGAUGACGCUUCAUAAUGGCUUAACAUGGACCACAGCAUGAAUCACAGCAUGAGCUGGAGACCCUACCACAGUGGGCAGUACUGGACAGGUAAGCUGCUGGCAUGAUCACAUCAUAGCCUGGGUAGGACAUAUCAACUCUCAUGCCUGGACCAGAGCCCCCAUGUCCACUCCCAGAAGAUCCACAGCAGGAGGGUGGGCAGCAUUCGGAAGCACACACAGUACGGCAAGACACUUGGGAGCUGCCGUGGGAGACAAGACGGGGUCCUGGAACCGUCAGGGAGCAACCGCCGGGUUGGACAUGCACAGCUGAGGUGUUGCCAGUGUCAACCAACACUCCACCACUGCCGGAACCAGAUCCGCCACCACAUCCAGAACCGCACGAAGUUCCACAACAGGCCAUCUUGAGUGAGAGAGAGGGAUCUGAAACACACAACAGAAUAACAUUGAACAUACAGGAGAGGAUUGGAUGGAUGGACCUCAGGCAUACUCCCAGGCAAUCCAUGAGUACAUAUACACAGUGGAUGGUUGUGCAUCACCCUCCUCCCUGAUAGUCCUGCCAUACUUGUCUGAUCCUUAAGAAAUUAAGCAAUGGAGCUGAGAAAUCAAUGUACACCAUUGAAGAAAGAGGGAUUGCCUGCCAACCUUGCUACUCCUGGGAGAUCUUUAAGCUUCUGGGAGUCGAACCUUCAUAGAAGAGGCACAAAUGCAACAAGUACAGCUCCCCUCCACAAUGUGGGAAGACCAAAGAAACAGAACACCUAGCUAUGCCUAACCAUAUAGCAUAGGAAAGCUGAACAGAUUGUAUUCAAUCGUACUCACUUGAGUUCAGUAGUUGUAGAGAUGCUGUUGGAAGUCAGCAAAUGUUGAUGGUGGCACUUCAGACUGCAGGCCUUUAUAUACGGUUCUAACUGGUCACAUGGCUUUGUUAUUGAGGCAUGACAAAGGUCUUAAAUUAGUUGCUGGCAAAGAUUGGCUUCAAGCCUUGCAUCUAAAACACAUCUAAUUGCUUUACUCACUGCUCAUGAUCUAUUCUCAGGUUAUUAUACCCCAUAAAAACCUUCCUUCUUGUACAUUGAUGGCCGUAUUCUUGGUUGACUGCUAAAUCCUAUUUGACAAAAAAUAAAUCAAUGAAGCGCAUUGAUUAUGGGUGUCAUCAAACCAAGCUUUUUUCUGAGUCAGAUUCAGAUUAACAAAGUUCGUGAAGCAUGUAUGUUAUAUUUGUCUUUAAGUAUAUAUGUUUACUAAGAGCUUUUUCUCCUCUUUUGAUUGGAGGUGAAAUAGUUUAGUGGGAGAACAUCAGUUUUGCAUGCAGAAGGUCCUACCUUCUCCAGGUAGAGCUAGGAAAAACCCUGUAUGAAACCCCAGAGAGCUACUACCAUUGUACACAAUCCUGAGCUAGACAACUUGCUAUAAGGCAGUUUCCUAUGUUUGCUCCCAUGCCAUUUUUUAAAAAAAUAUUUCUUAUUAAAGAUUUUCAUGAACUAAAAAGAAUGUGUAACAUAUCUCACCUUUAUUGGGGGGGGUCAGAUUAUAAAGUAAUUUUGGUUACGUUCAAUGUAAAAUGUAAAACAAUAUAAUAUCCAAAGGUAGGGGAAGAUGGUAGAGGGUGGGAAUUUAUUCUUAUACACUAUCUUGUUGUGUCAACUUGGUACAUACGUAGGGUUUAAUGUCAGUUUCAGUUGAGUAGGUUCUCUUUAGGUAUAUUUAUUGGUUUACAUUGACGAUGAGAGAAGAUUUGGGGGCACGCGUAUUUAUUUGCCUUUUAUUGCCUCUCAUGAACUAGCUCUCAUGUCUUUUGAUGGGUUUUCUUCUGCUCUGAUUCUUGGCUGUCUCCCUGACACAAUUCCUUACACUUGGUUCCCGACUCUCCUUUCAUUGUUGCUGGAAACCCCAACCCAAGACCUGAAUUCAGUAUGCAAUCUCUCCUGUGCUUCCAGUUCAUAAAGUGCCACGUUCUAUCUCAGUGUAGCCAAGCAAUCCCUUUGAAACAUGUGCUGUUCUAAUAAAAGCUAAUUUGAUUCCAUGUGCUAGUUAACACUGAGUAUAAUCAACUAUUUAUAUCACACGCAAUCAUUCUUUUGUCUUUAGAAAUGUAGCUAUUGCAUGAUUGUCGUUGCUUCUAAAUGUGGAGCUCACACAUCUGCACCGCAGUUACAUGGUCAAGACCUCCAACUUGGCCCCCCAGAUGUUUUUGGCCUACAACUCCCAUGAUCCCUAGCUAGCAGGACCACUGGUCAGGGAUGAUGGGAAUUGUAGUUUCAAAACAUCUUGAGGGCCGAGUUUGAAGAAGCCUGACCUAGGGUAUUGCAUUGGCUUACAUAAAGGAGGAUCUAACAUCUGGGUCUUCCAGAUGUUGCUGGGCUCCAACUCUCAUCUGUCCCAUGUAUCUCUUUCACUUGCUGUUCAAAGGUGUAUUAGCACAGAAUUUCAUCUUUCCCAACCAUGCUUUUUAUUAUGUGGCCAGAGACCCAAACUCUGGGUUUGCGGUGCUCCUCUUGCUUUACAGGCUGAGGGAGCCAGCGUUUGUCCACAGACAGUUUUUCUGGGUCACGUCGCCAGCAUGACUAAGCCACUUCUGGCGCAACCAAAGCAGCACACAUAAACGCUGUUUACCUUCCCGCCGGAGUGGUACCUAUUUAUCUACUUCUACUUUGUGCUUUCGAACUGCUAGGUUGGCAGGAGCAGGGACUGAGCAACAGGAGCUCACCCCGUUGUGGGGAUUCGAACCGCCAACCUUCUGAUCAGCAAGCCCAAGAGGCUCAGUGGUUUAUACCACAGAGCCACCCAUCUCUCCUAAGAUGGGUUACAAUCAGAGAAUUGUAGAGCUGGAAGAGAUUCCUAAGGUGAACUUGUCCAACCCCACUGCAAUGCAGGAAUCGCAGUGUAGAAUCCCAGACGGAUGGCCAUCCAACCUCUGCUCAAAAACCUCCAAGGAACGAGAGUCCACAACCUUCGGAGGGAGUCCAUUCCACUGUUAAAGAGCUCUUACCACCGGAAAGUUUUUGUUAAUGUUUAAUUGGAAUCCCUCAUCCUGUAAUUUGACAUUGUUGGUUUGAGUCCUACUCCUUGGAGUAGCAGCAAACAAGCUUGCUCCAUCUUCUAUGUGAUAGACCUUUAGAUAUUUGCAGAUUACUAUCCUAUCACAUCUCAGUCUCCUCUUUUCCAGGUUAAAUAUACACAAUUCUCUCAAACGUUCCUCAUGAGGCCUGCUUUGGAGACCCUUGAUCAUUAUAUAAUAUAGAGUUGUCAUAUUUCAAAAAGUGAAAAUCCAGACACAAAUGUUUUUGAAGGGUUUUUCUUGGGGGGGAGGGCAAAGUUGUCAAGCUAUUUUAAAGGAACUACGCCAAAAUGCCAUACACCUGGAUUUUCCCAGACAUUUCAGUGAUUUCCGCAUGCACACUGUUUCCAACGGCCUAAUCUCGUUGAUGUCUGGGAUAUUGAAGACAUAUGGCGAAUCUAUUAAUGUCAGAAAAUCUAUAACACAUCUAAAUAAACUAUUAUAUGUUAAUAUGUGGAAGUCUGAGGUAGGAUAAAAUAAAUAACAUAACCAGGUUAAAAAAAGAAACCUGCAACCAGAGAAGAUAUGUUUAAACAAAGGAAAUUUCUCCAUGUUUUUGAGACAGAUGGAGAAAUGUAGCCACUGUCCAUUUAUCUGUAUUCGGCACUAAGGCGAACAUUGCUGGAUCAGGCCAAUGGCCCAUUUUAUCCAGAAUUAUCUGCCCACCAUGGCCAUUCAGAUGCUUAUAGGAGGGCCACAAACAGGGAAUGGGUGCUAUAGCUAGUUCCUGCUUUUGCUCGCCCAAAAUUCAGCUGCAAAAAAAAUCACCAACACAUGAUGUGGACAACCCAAAUUCAAUGUCUUUCUGUCCACAAGUAUCCACAUUCUUGAACCUGCCCUCGUUGUCCUCAUUUUCACUCUAGAAAGAAAACUUGAUUUGGUUACACCUAGAAGAAGUGUGCUCCACCAAUCUAUAAAAAGAAAAUCUACGUGAUAUAAUAUAGCCAACAUACUAAAUUUAGCUGAGAAUAGAUCAUAAGUAGUGAGUACAGCUAUUAGAUGUAUUUUAGGUGCAAGGCUUACAGCGAAUGUCUGCAGGCAACUAAUUGAAGACCUUUGUCAUGCCCCAAUAACAAAGCCAUGUGACCAGUUAGAACCGUAUAUAAAGGCCUGCAGUCUGAAGUGCCACCAUCAACAUUUGCUGACUUCCAACAGCAUCUCUACAACUACUGAACUCAAGUGAGUACGAUUGAAUACAAUCUGUUCAGCUUUCAUAUGUUAUAUGGUUAGGCAUAGCUAGGUGUUCUGUUUCUUUUGUCUUCUCACAUUGUGGAGGGGAGCUGUACUUGUUGCAUUUGUGCCUCUUCUAUGAAGGUUCGACUCCCAGAAGCUUAAAGAUCUCCCAGGAGUAGCAAGGUUGGCAGGCAAUCCCUCUUUCUUCAAUGGUGUACAUUGAUUUCUCAGCUCCAUUGCUUAAUUUCUUAAGGAUCAGACAAGUAUGGCAGGACUAUCGGGGAGGGGAGGGUGAUGCACAACCAUCCACUGUGUAUAUGUACUCAUGGAUUGCCUGGGAGUAUGCCUGAGGUCCAUCCAUCCAAUCCUCUCCUGUAUGUUCAAUGUUAUUCUGUUGUGUGUUUCAGAUCCCUCUCUCUCACUCAAGAUGGCCUGUUUUGGAACUUCGUGCGGUUCUGGAUGUGGCGGCGGAUCUGGUUCCGGCAGUGGUGGAGUGUUGGUUGACACUGGCAACACCUCAGCUGUGCAUGUCCAACCUGGCGGUUGCUCCCUGACAGUUCCAGGACCCCGUCUUGUCUCCCACGGCAGCUCCCAAGUGUCUUGCCGCUGUGUGUGUGCUUCCGAAUGCUGCCCACCCUCCUGCUGUGGAUCUUCUGGGGGUGGACAUGGGGGCUCUGGUCCAGGCAUGAGAGUCGAUAUGUCCUACCCAGGCUAUGAUGUGAUCAUGCCAGCAGCUUACCUGUCAAGCACUGCCCACUGUGGUAGUGUCUCCAGCUCAUGCUGCGAACCAUGCUGUGGUCCAUGUUAAACCAUUAUGAAGCGUCAUCUGUGGAUCACCGAACAUGCAAGAAGACCAUGCAACAUUACUGGGCAAAAUAGGGUUGUCUUCUCAGAGGGUUGAGCACCUUCCACUCUUGCCAUCUUGGUGGGAUUGCUGGGUCCUCAGCCUCUGUGUCUACUUUGCCUGUCAAUGUCUUUCUCUGCCUCUAUUCCAACAUUUUCCUUGUAUCUUUUCCUGCUCUUAUCAUUUACUCUUUUCUUUCAAAUAUCUUCAUUGUAAAGCCAUAACCCUCUCCACUGUGGAAGGGGAUGGUUGCUUCCUACAAACAUCUCAAUAGAUUGUACUCAUCUCUUCUUUUCUGUCAUUAAAAUCUUCAGCAAAGCAAAUGAUUUUUUCUCUCUGCUUCAUUUUUAACAUACUAUUUAUCAAUUAUAUCGUCAUACCAUGUAGACGAUGAAUGCAAUGUUGGGUGAAGAUUUCCUUGAAAUUUUCUCAGAAAGGAAUUGAUAGCAAUUUUUGAGGUGCUCCAACAUUAAGACAAGCACAAUUGUUUAGGAAGGGCCACAGUUCAGUGACAGUGCAUCUGCUUUUCAUGCAGAACAUCUCAGGGUUCAAUCCCCAAUAUCUCCACAUUAUGCUAGGUGAGUCGUACUGCCAGUAACCCUUGAUAGCCUCUUCCAGACAGUGCAGACAAAUACUGAGAUAGAUGGGAAAAUGUCUUUCCCUUGUAGAAAGUAGCUUCUUAUGCUCUGUGAGAGAUCUGGGAGAGGGGUGGCUAAUUUGUCCCUGUAGUGUCUGGCUCACAUGACCCUGGCAAGCAAAGCACCCCUUCCCACAACAGAGGACAUGGGGGAACACCAACAGGUUACCAAGCCUAGCACCUGCGCUCUGGGUACUCUGGGGAGCACAAGCACCCAGCAUGAGGUGCCUUGGGAAUAAGCGGUUUCUGUGUGGGGGCCUUGGCAGGAGCUUCAGGGUGAAUGCAGGCAAAUACAAGACUCCUUUCUUCUGCCAAGCCCAGGCCCCGUCGAGAAUUUGGCUUCAGGUAUUAGGCAGCCAGCAAUGCAGAGAACAUCAAUCAAUGGGAGAUAUUAGACGGAACCAGCCUUUCUCUCCUUGGAAGUGCACAUGGCACUUCUCCCCCCCCCCCCCAACAUGCCGGCCUGUAAGUCCAAAGUAAGAAGGAGGCUGCUGAAAAACUCUGGCUCUGGCUCAUGCUGGGUCAAGCUAGAACCAGCCAGGCUUCCUCCCUGCCCACUGAGGAGGCAGGCAGGCAGACUCUCUGGCUCUCCUUCAGAUGGUUGUGUAGUUUGCUGGAGAGAACAAGGAGGAGGUAGCAUGCUCCAAGACCACACAUGCAACUGGAGGUGGAAGAUGGGAAAGAGGAUGCAAGGUGAGGAGACACAAUUUUCCCUUUCACCUCAGGCAGCAAAAUUUCUUUGGCCGGCCUUCUCAGUAGCAGUGCGUUUGCUUUUCAUGCUGUCCCUGGAGUCUUGCCAAAUACAAGGCGGUUCUUUUAAAAUGGGAUUCAGAGGUGUUAUAGGAAUUCUAAGGCCAUUCUGAAGCCAUUUUGACUCUCCCAUAUUGACCUCAAAUAUUUCUCAGCAAGGAGGAAGGAAAGGGGAAAAGCUUUCCAAUUGUCUUUGGACUUUAGGGGCUUACAGCUCCCUGUAAAUACAGUCUGGCAAGUAUGUGUUAAGCUGAGCACACUACCAAUAUGUGUAAGACAUUCAGGAACUAAGUACACCGGUACCUCGAGUUACAAACAUCUCAGGUUACAAAUGCUUUAGGUUACAAACUCUGCUAACCUGGAAGAGUGACCUUGAGUUGGGAACUCUGCCCCAGGAUGAGAACGGAAAUUGUGUGCCGGUGGCACAGCGGAAGCAAGAGGCCCCAUUAACGAAAGCAUGCCUCUAGUUAAGAACAGUUUCAGGUUAAGAACGGACCUCUGGAAUGAAUUAAGUUCAUAACUAGAAGUACCACUGUAAGGUAUUGUUGGGUAUCCUGGCAGACAGGAAGGAAGCAACACACUCAAAUUUCUGCUGGGAACCACCUCUUUCUGUGAUGUAUGUAUGAUGUUUCUGGGGGUGGUCUUGAGCUACAGCAGGGGUCAGCAAACUUUUUCAGCAGGGGGCCGGUCCACUAUCCUUCACGCCUUGUGGGGGGCUGGACUAUAUUUUGGGGGGAAAAAUAAUAGACAAAUUCCUAUGCACACUGCCACUGGUGGAGGAAGAGGAGCAAGGGGGGAGGGCACCGCCACCGGCGGCGUGAUCCCAGUCGGGUGCUAUCACAGCUGCUCCCCCACCUGAGCUAGGCGCCACACCCCCAGGAUGUGUGCCAUGCCCACAGGAUGAGCACCCGCCCCACCCCACCUGCUCUCCGCCCCCUGGUGCUGGAGCAUGAAGCUCUGCCACUGUACACUGCAUAUAUUGCAUUUGUAGUACAGAAAAAACCGUGGAAAGCAGUGCAAUAUUUAAAAUGAAGAACAAUUUUAAUCAACAUGAACUUAUAAGUAUUUCAAUGGGAAGUAUGGGCCUGUUUUUGGCUAACAAGAUGGUCAAUAUAAUUAGUUUGCUAAUAGGAGGGGUUGCCCCUCCUCCACAGCCAGCCUGGAAAAGCACACCACUAGCCUCUUAGUAGGUUAAUAAGAGCAUCUGCAGGUUCAUCAUUUUUGCAGCCUUAUUUACAAUGCUGUAUUUCUUCCUCAAAAAAAGACUGGAAAUUACCAGUUUCCACUUUACUUCAGAGGCUUCUUACUACAUCAGUACACUAUGCAGUUGCCCCCCCCCCCAUAAAGUAAGUAAAUAAAAAUACUUAAAGUAGAAAUUGUAGGAAGAUUUUGACAGAUUUUUUUCCUAAGCACUUGAGGUCAAAAGAAAGCAAUUUAAAGCAACAGUUGUUGGGGCAUUUCAUUCUAAAUCUGCUAGACAGAGCCUGCCUUCCAGAGGAUGAUGACGACAGGUGGGUGUCCUGCCAGUCAGAAUCUCCACUCAGCCAAGUUGAUAAAGCCUCAUCUUUGGGCCGAGUCUCCGAAAUCGCCUCUGACGAAUAAUUAACGACCUCGAGCCUUUGAUGAGGCUCCAAGGCACAUUUUUCAUCCAGCAGAGUUCCCAGCACAGGGAAGAGACGAUGGGUUGGCUACAUGCUAUGCUUUAUUUCUAAGCUACGCAGACAGCAAAAGAAAAGUACAUCCUCUCUCUUUGAAAGCAGAGAGCAACUGGACAAAGGAACAAAGGAAACAGGAAAGCACUGACGUCACAUCCCGUCUCCCUUUCCCGUGAGACUGGAAGGUCUCUGGAAUGUAAACAGAGUCCUGUGACUCCAAGCAGCUGCUCAGUGGCAAAACAGAAACUAACACUGCCACCCACCAAACCCCAACAUAAAUCCUGAGAUUGAUACUUGGUGGUUCCUGUAGCAGAAAGGAGAAUUUGGCCACUGUGUGUGCAUGUAUCGGCUUAUGUUGGGAUGGUAGAAGAGCGAGGUAAAUCUAAGGCGGCUGUACCAAUGAAAAGACACAUCGGUGUUUACCUAAGCACGGCAUGGGAACUGACUGAGUGGGCACCGCGGUGAGGUAAAUUGUGGGAAUGGCGAAGGCACCCCCACCUCAGCAUAAGAUAAGCCACAGCUUGUCUAGCCACCAUGCCCACUUUCUGACCUUUUCUCCCUUGCAGAAAGAUUUGCUUAAUGUUUCACUUGGCUGGAGCGUGGUGGGUGGGUCAGACUUUGCCUAACGUCAAGGGAAGCACCUGUCUGACACGUGUAUCACUAAAGCUGGAAAUGUGCCUUGCUGGAAAUAUAUUAAGUUCAGGGUAGUUUCACUACUGUUUCCAAUUGAUGACUUGUGCUAAUAAAAGAGGCUCUGCAAAGCUAGCCGGCAGCUUGCUUGCUCCUGCACAGCUCACAUGCAUUCAACUCCCGUGUCAUCCUGCCAUAUUUCUACAGUAAAUGUUGAGGCGACCUUUCAGCCUUGGAUUCUUUGUAGGUUCUCAAGUGGCCAUGUGGUGCAGAUUCGUGACCCUUUUGGGCUGCAGGCCGUAGUUUGCCGACCUAUGAGCUACAGGGUAGGCAAUUUAAAAAUUCUCUAUAAGAGCUUGCACAUCAAUGUUCUGGGUUCCUCUCCUCCCUGGGUGGGGCGAGUGGGGGACAUUCUGCAGGCUGUUGGUGGUCCCCCAUGUCCGCUGUUGUGGGAAGAGGUGCUUUCCUUGCCAGGGUCAUGUGAGCCCGACACUACAGGGACAAAAGACAACUUAGCCAACCCUCUCCCAGCUCCCUCACAGAGCAUAAGAAGAUACUUUCUACAAAGGCAAGACAUUGUUCCAUCUAUCUCAGUAUUUGUCUGCACUGUCUGGAAGCUGCUAUCCAGGGUUUCUGGCAGAACAACUCACCUAGCAUAAUGUGGAGAUAUUGGGGAUUGAACCCUGAGGUAUUCUGCAUGAAAACCAGAUGCCUUGUCACUGAACUGCGGCCCUUACUCAACAUGUGUGCUUGUCUUAAUGUUGGAGCACCUCAAAAGUUGCUAUCAAUUCCUUUCUGAGGAAAUUUCACAGAAAUGUGCACCCAACAUUGCAUUCAUCGUCUACGUGGUAUGACGAUAUAAUUGAUAAAUAGUAUGUUAAAAAUGAAGCAGAGAGAAAAAUCAUUUGCUUUGCUGAAGAUUUUAAUGACAGAAAAGAAGAGAUGAGUACAAUCUAUUGAGAUGUUUGUAGGAAGCAACCAUUCCCUUCCACAGGGGAGAGGGUUAUGGCUUUACAAUGAAGAUAUUUGAAAGUAAAGAGUAAAUGAAAAGAACAGGAAAAGAUACGAGGAAAAUGUUGGAAUAGAGGCAGAGAAAGACAUUGCCAGGCAAAGUAGACACAGAGGCUGAGGACCCAGCAAUCCCACCAAGAUGGCAAGAGUGGAAGGUGCUCAACCCUCUGAGAAGACAACCCUAUUUUGCCCAGUAAUGUUGCAUGGUCUCCUUGCAUGUUCGGUGACCCACAGAUGACGCUUCAUAAUGGCUUAACAUGGACCACAGCAUGGUUCACAGCAUGAGCUGGAGACACUACCACAGUGGGCAGUGCUUGACAGGUAAGCUGCUGGCAUGAUCACAUCAUAGCCUGGGUAGGACAUAUCGACUCUCAUGCCUGGACCAGAGCCCCCAUGUCCACUCCCAGAAGACCCACAGCAGGAGGGUGGGCAGCAUUCGGAAGCACACACAGUGCGGCAAGACACUUGGGAGCUGCCGUGGGAGACAAGACGGGGUCCUGGAACCGUCAGGGAGCAACCGCCGGGUUGGACAUGCACAGCUGAGGUGUUGCCAGUGUCAACCAACACUCCACCACUGCCGGAACCAGAUCCGCCGCCACAUCCAGAACCGCACGAACUUCCACAACAGGCCAUCUUGAGUGAGAGAGAGGGAUCUGAAACACACAACAGAAUAACAUUGAACAUACAGGAGAGGAUUGGAUGGAUGGACCUCAGGCAUACUCCCAGGCAAUCCAUGAGUACAUAUACACAGUGUAUGGUUGUGAAUCACCCUCCCCUCCCCGAUAGUCCUGCCAUACUUUUCUGAUCCUUAAGAAAUUAAGCAAUGGAGCUGAGAAAUCAAUGGACACCAUUGAAGAAAGAGGGAUUGCUUGCCAACCUUGCUACUCCUGGGAGAUCUUUAAGCUUCUGGGAGUCGAACCUUCAUAGAAGAGGCACAAAUGCAACAAGUACACCUCCCCUCCACAAUGUGGGAAGACCAAAGAAACAGAACACCUAGCUAUGCCUAACCAUAUAACAUAUGAAAGCUGAACAGAUUGUAUUCAAUCGUACUCACUUGAGUUCAGUAGUUGUAGAGAUGCUGUUGGAAGUCAGCAAAUGUUGAUGGUGGCACUUCAGACUGCAGGCCUUUAUAUACGGUUCUAACUGGUCACAUGGCUUUGUUAUUGGGGCAUGACAAAGGUCUUCAAUUAGUUGCCUGCAGACAUUCGCUGUAAGCCUUGCACCUAAAAUAC
This is a non-coding RNA of Podarcis lilfordi (Lilford's wall lizard), 11228 nucleotides long. NCBI's taxonomy places the organism in Eukaryota, Metazoa, Chordata, Lepidosauria, Squamata, Lacertidae. The record is from the annotation of a GenBank genome assembly.